Molecule: transfer RNA, 73 nt
Filed under: Pseudomonadota bacterium
Lineage: Bacteria; Pseudomonadati; Pseudomonadota
Also listed under: 2 other names
Description: tRNA-Ala
Rfam family: tRNA
About the family: Transfer RNA (tRNA) molecules are approximately 80 nucleotides in length. Their secondary structure includes four short double-helical elements and three loops (D, anti-codon, and T loops). Further hydrogen bonds mediate the characteristic L-shaped molecular structure. tRNAs have two regions of fundamental functional importance: the anti-codon, which is responsible for specific mRNA codon recognition, and the 3' end, to which the tRNAs corresponding amino acid is attached (by aminoacyl-tRNA synthetases). tRNAs cope with the degeneracy of the genetic code in two manners: having more than one tRNA (with a specific anti-codon) for a particular amino acid; and 'wobble' base-pairing, i.e. permitting non-standard base-pairing at the 3rd anti-codon position.
Source: RNAcentral
GGGGCUGUAGCUCAGUUGGGAGAGCGCUUGUAUCGCACACAAGAGGUAGUGGGUUCAAAUCCCAUCAGCUCCA